Molecule: ribosomal RNA, 2210 nt
Filed under: Escherichia coli
Lineage: Bacteria; Pseudomonadati; Pseudomonadota; Gammaproteobacteria; Enterobacterales; Enterobacteriaceae
Description: partial 23S ribosomal RNA
Rfam family: Bacterial large subunit ribosomal RNA
Source: RNAcentral
GGUUAAGCGACUAAGCGUACACGGUGGAUGCCCUGGCAGUCAGAGGCGAUGAAGGACGUGCUAAUCUGCGAUAAGCGUCGGUAAGGUGAUAUGAACCGUUAUAACCGGCGAUUUCCGAAUGGGGAAACCCAGUGUGAUUCGUCACACUAUCAUUAACUGAAUCCAUAGGUUAAUGAGGCGAACCGGGGGAACUGAAACAUCUAAGUACCCCGAGGAAAAGAAAUCAACCGAGAUUCCCCCAGUAGCGGCGAGCGAACGGGGAGCAGCCCAGAGCCUGAAUCAGUGUGUGUGUUAGUGGAAGCGUCUGGAAAGGCGCGCGAUACAGGGUGACAGCCCCGUACACAAAAAUGCACAUGCUGUGAGCUCGAUGAGUAGGGCGGGACACGUGGUAUCCUGUCUGAAUAUGGGGGGACCAUCCUCCAAGGCUAAAUACUCCUGACUGACCGAUAGUGAACCAGUACCGUGAGGGAAAGGCGAAAAGAACCCCGGCGAGGGGAGUGAAAAAGAACCUGAAACCGUGUACGUACAAGCAGUGGGAGCACGCUUAGGCGUGUGACUGCGUACCUUUUGUAUAAUGGGUCAGCGACUUAUAUUCUGUAGCAAGGUUAACCGAAUAGGGGAGCCGAAGGGAAACCGAGUCUUAACUGGGCGUUAAGUUGCAGGGUAUAGACCCGAAACCCGGUGAUCUAGCCAUGGGCAGGUUGAAGGUUGGGUAACACUAACUGGAGGACCGAACCGACUAAUGUUGAAAAAUUAGCGGAUGACUUGUGGCUGGGGGUGAAAGGCCAAUCAAACCGGGAGAUAGCUGGUUCUCCCCGAAAGCUAUUUAGGUAGCGCCUCGUGAAUUCAUCUCCGGGGGUAGAGCACUGUUUCGGCAAGGGGGUCAUCCCGACUUACCAACCCGAUGCAAACUGCGAAUACCGGAGAAUGUUAUCACGGGAGACACACGGCGGGUGCUAACGUCCGUCGUGAAGAGGGAAACAACCCAGACCGCCAGCUAAGGUCCCAAAGUCAUGGUUAAGUGGGAAACGAUGUGGGAAGGCCCAGACAGCCAGGAUGUUGGCUUAGAAGCAGCCAUCAUUUAAAGAAAGCGUAAUAGCUCACUGGUCGAGUCGGCCUGCGCGGAAGAUGUAACGGGGCUAAACCAUGCACCGAAGCUGCGGCAGCGACGCUGAUGCGUUGUUGGGUAGGGGAGCGUUCUGUAAGCCUGCGAAGGUGUGCUGUGAGGCAUGCUGGAGGUAUCAGAAGUGCGAAUGCUGACAUAAGUAACGAUAAAGCGGGUGAAAAGCCCGCUCGCCGGAAGACCAAGGGUUCCUGUCCAACGUUAAUCGGGGCAGGGUGAGUCGACCCCUAAGGCGAGGCCGAAAGGCGUAGUCGAUGGGAAACAGGUUAAUAUUCCUGUACUUGGUGUUACUGCGAAGGGGGGACGGAGAAGGCUAUGUUGGCCGGGCGACGGUUGUCCCGGUUUAAGCGUGUAGGCUGGUUUUCCAGGCAAAUCCGGAAAAUCAAGGCUGAGGCGUGAUGACGAGGCACUACGGUGCUGAAGCAACAAAUGCCCUGCUUCCAGGAAAAGCCUCUAAGCAUCAGGUAACAUCAAAUCGUACCCCAAACCGACACAGGUGGUCAGGUAGAGAAUACCAAGGCGCUUGAGAGAACUCGGGUGAAGGAACUAGGCAAAAUGGUGCCGUAACUUCGGGAGAAGGCACGCUGAUAUGUAGGUGAAGUCCCUCGCGGAUGGAGCUGAAAUCAGUCGAAGAUACCAGCUGGCUGCAACUGUUUAUUAAAAACACAGCACUGUGCAAACACGAAAGUGGACGUAUACGGUGUGACGCCUGCCCGGUGCCGGAAGGUUAAUUGAUGGGGUCAGCGCAAGCGAAGCUCUUGAUCGAAGCCCCGGUAAACGGCGGCCGUAACUAUAACGGUCCUAAGGUAGCGAAAUUCCUUGUCGGGUAAGUUCCGACCUGCACGAAUGGCGUAAUGAUGGCCAGGCUGUCUCCACCCGAGACUCAGUGAAAUUGAACUCGCUGUGAAGAUGCAGUGUACCCGCGGCAAGACGGAAAGACCCCGUGAACCUUUACUAUAGCUUGACACUGAACAUUGAGCCUUGAUGUGUAGGAUAGGUGGGAGGCUUUGAAGUGUGGACGCCAGUCUGCAUGGAGCCGACCUUGAAAUACCACCCUUUAAUGUUUGAUGUUCUAACGUUGACCCGU